CUAUACAUGACUCUGCGCAUAUCAAUAAGCGGAGGAAAAGAAACUAACAAGGAUUCCACUAGUAACGGCGAGUGAAGCGGGAAGAGCUCAAAUUUGAAAUCUUAAAGGUUUUCCCUUGACGAAUUGUAGUUUAAAGAAGUGUUUUCUGUUGGAGUUUUCGGUAAAAGUUCUUUGGAGUAGGACAUCAUAGAGGGUGAGAAUCCCGUAUUUGACCGUUACUUUCCUAGCUGUGUGAUACACUUUCAAAGAGUCGGAUUGUUUGGGAAUGCAGUCCAAAAUGGGUGGUAAAUUUCAUCUAAAGCUAAAUAUUGGCGAGAGACCGAUAGCGAACAAGUACCGUGAGGGAAAGAUGAAAAGAACUUUGAAAAGAGAGUUAAACAGUACGUGAAAUUGUCAAAAGGGAAGCGUUUGACACCAGUGUUGUUUAGUUGAAAAUCAAUUCAAUAAUGAUUGGAUUUUGAGUAGUAUUGACUUCAUCAGCUUUCUGCACUUUCUUUUCAUAAUUAUUUAAUGCACUUUUCAGUUUAACAAGUCAACAUCAAUUUCUUUUGUCGUAAAAGAGUAAUAGGAAGGUGGCUUACUCUUCGGCGUAAAGUGUUUAUAGCCUUUGACCUCUACAAUCGGAGAGAUUGAGGAUCAGCAGCGUAGACUCCUUCGGGGUUAGAUACCGUAGAUGCUAAGCUAUAGCCUUGUAUAGACAACUUGUUGACUAUGCUCAGUCAUGUAGCUUACUCGCUUGUGCUAUUUUACCUACGCUUAGGAUGUUGAAGAUAUGCGCGACACG
This 784-nucleotide ribosomal RNA is filed under the name uncultured Neocallimastigales. Its description in RNAcentral is "partial large subunit ribosomal RNA". It matches the Rfam family "Eukaryotic large subunit ribosomal RNA", at positions 22 to 644 of the family's 3401-position model. The record is from RNAcentral. Lineage: Eukaryota; Fungi; Neocallimastigomycota; Neocallimastigomycetes; Neocallimastigales.